GAUGAACGCUAGCGGCAGGCCUAACACAUGCAAGUCGAGGGAGAAGCCCUUUCGGGGGCAGAAACCGGCGCACGGGUGCGUAACGCGUAUGCAACCUACCUUUCACAGGGGGAUAGCCCGAAGAAAUUUGGAUUAAUACCCCAUAAUAUUGUUGGAUGGCAUCAUUUGGCAAUUAAAGCUACGACGGUGGAAGAUGGGCAUGCGUCCUAUUAGCUAGUUGGAGUGGUAACAGCACCCCAAGGCUACGAUAGGUAGGGGUCCUGAGAGGGAGAUCCCCCACACUGGUACUGAGACAGGGACCAGACUCCUACGGGAGGCAGCAGUGAGGAAUAUUGGUCAAUGGUCGGAAGACUGAACCAGCCAUGCCGCGUGCAGGAAGAAUGCCUUAUGGGUUGUAAACUGCUUUUAUAUGGGAAGAAUAAGG
Molecule: ribosomal RNA, 424 nt
Filed under: Capnocytophaga gingivalis
Lineage: Bacteria; Pseudomonadati; Bacteroidota; Flavobacteriia; Flavobacteriales; Flavobacteriaceae
Description: bacterial SSU rRNA
Rfam family: Bacterial small subunit ribosomal RNA
Source: RNAcentral